RNAcentral lists this ribosomal RNA (492 nucleotides) under uncultured bacterium. Its description in RNAcentral is "partial 16S ribosomal RNA". It matches the Rfam family "Bacterial small subunit ribosomal RNA", at positions 30 to 507 of the family's 1533-position model. The record is from RNAcentral.
AGUGAACGCUGGCGGCAGGCCUAACACAUGCAGGUCGAACGGCAGCACAGUAAGAGCUUGCUCUUACGGGUGGCGAGGGGCGGACGGGUGAGAAAUACAGCGGAAUCUACUUUUUCGUGGGGGAUAACGUAGGGAAACUUACGCUAAUACCGCAUACGACCUACGGGUGAAAGCAGGGGAUCUUCGGACCUUGCGCGACGGAAUGAGCUGAUGUCGGAUUAGCUAGUUGGCGGGGUAAAGGCCGACCAAGGCGACGAUCCGUAGCUGGUCGGAGAGGAUGAUCGGCCGCCAUGGAACUGCUGCGAGGCCGAGCCUCCUACGACAGGCGGCAGUGGUGAAUAUUAGAGCAUGAGCGCAAGCCUGAUGAAGCAGCGCCGCGUGGGGGGAGAAGGCGUUCUGGUUGUAGAGCACUUUUGUCGCGAGAGAAGAGCAGCAGGUUCGUAUGUCGGUGUGUUGACGGUACCCGAAUAAGAAGCGCCGGCUAACUACGUG